UCGUAGUUGGAUUCCUGGCCUGGGGUAGCCGGUCCGCCUUGCAAAAGGUGCGCACUGUGCGGCCUCGGCCAUCCUUGAGAAGAGCUGUUCUGGCAUUCAGUUGUCGGGGCGGGGAUUCUCGACGUUUACUGUGAAAAAAUCAGAGUGUUCAAAGCAGGCUUACGCCUUGAAUACAUUAGCAUGGAAUAAUGAGAUAGGACCUUGGCGGUCUAUUUUGUUGGUUUGCACGCCGAGGUAAUGAUUAAAAGGGACGGUUGGGGUUCUUCGUAUUCAAUUGUCAGAGGUGAAAUUCUUGGAUUUAUGGAAGACGAACUGCUGCGAAAGCGUCGAACAAGGACGUUCUCAUUAAUCAAGAACGAAAGUUAGGGGAUCGAAGAUGAUUAGAUACCAUCGUAGUCUUAACCAUAAACUAUGCCGAUUCAGGAUUGGCGGUCGUUUGUUCUCGACUCCGUCAGCACUGUAUGAGAAAUCAAAAUCUUUGGGUUCCGGGGGGAGU
This 496-nucleotide ribosomal RNA is filed under the name Pelagococcus sp. RCC5659. Its description in RNAcentral is "SSU rRNA". It matches the Rfam family "Eukaryotic small subunit ribosomal RNA", at positions 628 to 1124 of the family's 1831-position model. The record is from RNAcentral. Lineage: Eukaryota; Pelagophyceae; Pelagomonadales; Pelagomonadaceae.